AUGAACGCUGGCGGCAGGCUAACCAUGCAAUUUCGAGCGGUAGCACAGAGAGCUUGCUCUCGGGUGACGAGCGGCGGACGGGUGAGUAAUGUCUGGGAAACUGCCUGAUGGAGGGGGAUAACUACUGGAAACGGUAGCUAAUACCGCAUAACGUCGCAAGACCAAAGUGGGGGACCUUCGGGCCUCAUGCCAUCAGAUGUGCCCAGAUGGGAUUAGCUAGUANGUGGGGUAAUGGCUCACCUAGGCGACGAUCCCUAGCUGGUCCGAGAGGAUGACCAGCCACACUGGAACUGAGACACGGUCCAGACUCCUACGGGAGGCAGCAGUGGGGAAUAUUGCACAAUGGGCGCAAGCCUGAUGCAGCCAUGCCGCGUGUAUGAAGAAGGCCUUCGGGUUGUAAAGUACUUUCAGCGAGGAGGAAGGCAUUAGGGUUAAUAACCUUGGUGAUUGACGUUACUCGCAGAAGAAGCACCGGCUAACUCCGUGCCGGCCAGCCGCGGUAAUACGGAGGGUGCAAGCGUUACUCGGAAUUACUGGGCGUAAAGCAGCACGCAGGCGGAUCUUGUAANAUCAGAUGUGAAAUCCCCGGGCUCAACCCUNGACAUGANAUUUGAAACUGGCAAGCUUUGACCCAGCUAUGAACUAAAAGUGCUACGCGCUUUACCGAAGGUUAAGCUACUACUUCUUUUNNAACCCACUC
This 700-nucleotide ribosomal RNA is filed under the name Serratia fonticola. RNAcentral's name for it is "bacterial SSU rRNA". It matches the Rfam family "Bacterial small subunit ribosomal RNA", at positions 29 to 723 of the family's 1533-position model. Lineage: Bacteria; Pseudomonadati; Pseudomonadota; Gammaproteobacteria; Enterobacterales; Yersiniaceae. The record is from RNAcentral.